Molecule: ribosomal RNA, 710 nt
Filed under: Escherichia coli
Lineage: Bacteria; Pseudomonadati; Pseudomonadota; Gammaproteobacteria; Enterobacterales; Enterobacteriaceae
Description: partial 23S ribosomal RNA
Rfam family: Bacterial large subunit ribosomal RNA
Source: RNAcentral
AUCCGGGUUGCGGACAGUGUCUGGUGGGUAGUUUGACUGGGGCGGUCUCCUCCUAAAGAGUAACGGAGGAGCACGAAGGUUGGCUAAUCCUGGUCGGACAUCAGGAGGUUAGUGCAAUGGCAUAAGCCAGCUUGACUGCGAGCGUGACGGCGCGAGCAGGUGCGAAAGCAGGUCAUAGUGAUCCGGUGGUUCUGAAUGGAAGGGCCAUCGCUCAACGGAUAAAAGGUACUCCGGGGAUAACAGGCUGAUACCGCCCAAGAGUUCAUAUCGACGGCGGUGUUUGGCACCUCGAUGUCGGCUCAUCACAUCCUGGGGCUGAAGUAGGUCCCAAGGGUAUGGCUGUUCGCCAUUUAAAGUGGUACGCGAGCUGGGUUUAGAACGUCGUGAGACAGUUCGGUCCCUAUCUGCCGUGGGCGCUGGAGAAUUGAGGGGGGCUGCUCCUAGUACGAGAGGACCGGAGUGGACGCAUCACUGGUGUUCGGGUUGUCAUGCCAAUGGCACUGCCCGGUAGCUAAAUGCGGAAGAGAUAAGUGCUGAAAGCAUCUAAGCACGAAACUUGCCCCGAGAUGAGUUCUCCCUGACUCCUUGAGAGUCCUGAAGGAACGUUGAAGACGACGACGUUGAUAGGCCGGAUGUGUAAGCGCAGCGAUGCGUUGAGCUAACCGGUACUAAUGAACCGUGAGGCUUAACCUUACAACGCCGAAGCUGUU